Molecule: transfer RNA, 75 nt
Filed under: Owenweeksia sp. TMED14
Lineage: Bacteria; Pseudomonadati; Bacteroidota; Flavobacteriia; Flavobacteriales; Owenweeksiaceae
Description: tRNA-Arg(acg)
Rfam family: tRNA
About the family: Transfer RNA (tRNA) molecules are approximately 80 nucleotides in length.
Source: RNAcentral
GGCCCCGUAGCUCAACUGAAUAGAGCACCUCACUACGGAUGAGGAGGUUAAAGGUUUGAAUCCUUUCGGGGUCAC